CCCCGAGCGCUCCCGGCCCUCCCGGGCGGGGCUGAGCCCCGGCGGCGGGGGCGGUUCGGGCUCGGGGGGGCUGCGGGGCCGGCGGCCCAGCCCGGGGGUUGUUCCCGGCUCUCCCGUGUGACGGGGGCAGAGGGGGCGGAGGGUGGAGGGUCCCCCCCCGGCAUUUCCCGUCCCUCCUGCCGGGAGGGCCGUGACGGGGCCGUGACGGGGCCGCGGUGUCGGUGCAUCGCUGCGUCACGGGCAGGGCCCUCGGCCCGGCAGAGCCGCGGGGUGUUCCCGAUCCCUGCUAAAAAACCCUCGGAGCGGUGAGUCCCCCCGGGCUGUGGGAAGCCCUGCAGGCGGCAGGGCCGCGGGGGCCCGUUCUCACACCGUCGCCGAACAGCUCUGGUGACACCCGGCAGCCGGGACGGAGCCGCAGCCCCUGCGAGGAGGGGGAACGGGACCGCCCAGCCAUCGCUCCUGUGCUGUGAGAUGAGUGAGGCCGGGACUCGUCUUUCGGUGCUGUCAGUGCCCACGAGCACCGUUAUCCUGCCCCACAAUUCCCCAGCCCCAGGCGGCAGCUCCCUCGGUGGUGACAGUCUGUGUAAUCCUUUGGAUUGCACCUAAAGCCUGCGGAGUGAACAGAGUCCGGUCGCACUGACCCGCCAGAGCUUUGGAGCAGGGAAUGCUUGUGGCCCAGCACAGUGACACCAUGUGAGGGGGUGACAGGGGCAGCUCCUGCCUGCAACCAGCUCAGGGUAAAAAAUAAAACAUUGGGUUCAACUGCAA
Molecule: long non-coding RNA, 768 nt
Organism: Pipra filicauda (Wire-tailed manakin)
Lineage: Eukaryota; Metazoa; Chordata; Aves; Passeriformes; Pipridae
Exons: 2
Source: RefSeq, a predicted model, not a curated record